AAUCAGCGCAGGGUGAGGCGGACCCUAAGGCGAGGCCCCAGAGGCGUAGUCGAUGGAUAGCCGGUUAAAAUUCCGGCCCUGUCCGCAGUGCGUUAUUACCUACAGAGGGACCCUGAAACGAAGCGCGAGCGGUUUUGUGGAUUGACCGUUCAAAGGUGUAGGGCAACCGAGACCUGAAUACGAGAGCACGGGGGCAACUCCAAGCUCGAGUCGCGUAGAGUCGGCAGGCUAGAAAAGCUCUGUUUGGGAGUGCUGCGAACAACCGUACCGCAAACCGACACAGGUGGGCAAGGCGAGUAGCCUAAGGUGAACGAGUGAAACGUGGUCAAGGAACUCGGCAUAAUGAUCCCGUAACUUCGGAAGAAGGGAUGCCAGUUUGGGUAGCCAGCUUCGCGCUGGUCGCUCUUUCUGGUCGCAGAGAAUCGACUCAAGCGACUGUUUAGCAAAAACACAGGUGCGUGCUAAGCCGCGUAAGGCGCCGUAUACGCACUGACGCCUGCCCGGUGCCGGAAGGUUAAGGGGAGGGGUUAGCCGCAAGGCGAAGCCCUGAGCCGAAGCCCCGGUAAACGGCGGCCGUAACGAUAACGGUCCUAAGGUAGCGAAAUUCCUUGUCGGGUAAGUUCCGACCUGCACGAAUGGCGUAACGACUUGAGUACUGUCUCGACCACGUGCUCGGCGAAAUGGCAGUAUCGGUGAGGAUUCCGAUUUUCCCGCAGCAGGACAAAAAGACCCCAUGCACCCUUACUGUAGCUUGCCAUUGGACGUCGCACGUGACUGUGUAGCAUAGGUGGGAGCCUUUGAGGCCCGGGCGCUAGCUCGGGAUUAGGCAUCAGUGAAAUACCACCCUGGCUCUUGUAACGUCCUCACCACGCUCUGGAAAACCCAGGCUGGGACCGUGGCAGGUGGGCAGUUUGACUGGGGCGGUCGCCUCCGAAAGAGUAACGGAGGCGCGCGAUGGUUCCCUCAGCGCGGUCGGUACUCGCGCUCUUGAGUGUAACGGCAAAAGGGAGCCUGACGGUGAGACCGACGGGUCGAGCCGCCACGAAAGUGGGCCGUAGUGAUCCGGUAGCCCGUAGUGGAUCGGCUAUCGCUCAACGGAUAAAAGGUACGCUGGGGAUAACAGGCUUAUCGCAUCCGAGAGUUCACAUCGACGAUGCGGUUUGGCACCUCGAUGUCGGCUUGUCACAUCCUGGGCUGGAGAAGGUCCCAAGGGUCCGGCUGUUCGCCGGUUAAAGUGGCACAUGAGCUGGGUUCAAAACGUCGUGAGACAGUUUGGUCUGUAUCCGCUGUGGGCGUUGGAGAAUUGAGGGACGCGGACUCUAGUACGAGAGGACCGAGUCGGACGAUCCGCUCGUGUCCCGGCUGUGUCGCCAGAUGCAACGCCGGGUAGCGAUGAUCGGUAGGGAUAACCGCUGAAAGCAUCUAAGUGGGAAGCCCUUCCCAAGAUGAAUUCUCCCUGGGGCCUUGAGCCCCCUGAAGGGCCGUCGGAGACUACGACGUCAAUAGGCCGGAUGUGGAAGCGCGGUAACGCGUUACGAGCAAACCGGUCCUAAUCGCCCGUGAGGUUUGACUAC
RNAcentral lists this ribosomal RNA (1574 nucleotides) under metagenome. RNAcentral's name for it is "bacterial LSU rRNA". It matches the Rfam family "Bacterial large subunit ribosomal RNA", at positions 1367 to 2925 of the family's 2925-position model. The record is from RNAcentral.